RNAcentral lists this ribosomal RNA (253 nucleotides) under uncultured bacterium. Its description in RNAcentral is "partial 16S ribosomal RNA". It matches the Rfam family "Bacterial small subunit ribosomal RNA", at positions 524 to 776 of the family's 1533-position model. The record is from RNAcentral.
GACAGAGGGUGCAAACGUUGUUCGGAAUUACUGGGCGUAAAGCGCGUGUAGGCGGCUCGGCAAGUCGGGUGUGAAAGCCCUGGGCUUAACCUAGGAAGUGCACUCGAAACUGCCAAGCUUGAGUUCUGGAGAGGAAGGCGGAAUUCUCGGUGUAGAGGUGAAAUUCGUAGAUAUCGAGAGGAACACCGGUGGCGAAGGCGGCCUUCUGGACAAAAACUGACGCUGAGACGCGAAAGCGUGGGGAGCAGACAGG